This 253-nucleotide ribosomal RNA is filed under the name uncultured bacterium. RNAcentral's name for it is "partial 16S ribosomal RNA". It matches the Rfam family "Bacterial small subunit ribosomal RNA", at positions 524 to 776 of the family's 1533-position model. The record is from RNAcentral.
UACGUAGGGUGCAAGCGUUGUCCGGAAUUAUUGGGCGUAAAGAGCUCGUAGGCGGUCUGUCGCGUCUGCUGUGAAAACUCGGGGCUUAACUCCGGGCCUGCAGUGGGUACUGGCAGACUAGAGUGCGGUAGGGGAGACUGGAAUUCCUGGUGUAGCGGUGAAAUGCGCAGAUAUCAGGAGGAACACCGGUGGCGAAGGCGGGUCUCUAGUACGGUACUGACGCUGAGACGCGAAAGCGUGGGGAGCGAACAGG